GAAUGUGAAGGUGAUCUGGCUGCAACAUCUGUCACCCCAUUGAUCACCAGGGCUGAUUUGGCUGAUCUAGCUGGCUAGGCAGGUGUCCCCUUCCUCCCUGACUGCUCCAUGUGCACCCCUCCCAGAGCUGUGCACCCUUCCUUGGUAGAGGAGAGCUGUUCUUCAGUCAAAGGUUUAUAAGUAGCUGUGUUCCCCUUCUGGAACCUCCAGUCAAGCUCUGAAGGUCCAUUUGUAGGAGAACAUAGGGCAGUCAAGAUUCCAAGACUCCAGACACAUCCAAAUGAGGCACUGCAUGUGGCAGUCUGCCUUUCUUU
Molecule: non-coding RNA, 314 nt
Organism: Equus caballus (horse)
Lineage: Eukaryota; Metazoa; Chordata; Mammalia; Perissodactyla; Equidae
Source: Rfam